Long non-coding RNA from Neopelma chrysocephalum (saffron-crested tyrant-manakin), 1017 nucleotides. RefSeq lists it as uncharacterized. Lineage: Eukaryota; Metazoa; Chordata; Aves; Passeriformes; Pipridae. The transcript has 2 exons. The record is from RefSeq and is a predicted model, not a curated record.
ACGUUCCGCCGGGGCGGGACGGGGCCGGGAGCGCGGCCAGCACGGGGUCGGGGCCGGCAUUUCGUGGUCCCCACACCAGGACCGCGAUGGCGGCCUGAGGGCCCGGCCCUGGAGAGCCGCGAGCGGCCGAAAGAGGCCGCGGCGAGGGCAGGGUCUGUCUGUGCCCUGUUGGGAGCCCUCAGCCAUAGCCAGGGCCAGGGCAGGGUCCGGCUUGGGAACCUCAACCCCCUCAGCCAUGGCCGGGGCGAGGGCAGGUCCCACUGGGAGCCCUGAGUCCCCUCAGCCAUGGCUGGGGCGAGGGCAGGUCCAGCUGGGAGCCCUAAGUCCCCUCAGCCCCCUCAGCCAUGGCCGGGGCGAGGGCAGGUCCCUCUGGGAGCCCUGAGUCCCCUCACAGCCGUGCCCAGCCCGUGCAGGUGGUUGCCCAUAGAAGUGGCCGCUCUGGGUGGUGGAUAAACCCCGCUUGGAUCAUUUUUUCCGUUCUGUUUGCCAAGUCUGAACCAGAGCUGGUGGGCAGGGGUGGUCCCACCUCUCUGGUGCCCAUCACAUCCGCUGGGUGUUUGCAGCUCCGUCUCCUCCUGCUGCCACCACAGCCCCAGAGCUGCUGCUUUCAUGGCACUUUGGGGAGGACACGACGUUGGCUCAGCACCUCUCCAGUGUCAACCCACCCUGGGGAUCGAAGGCUGCGUUUCAAAUGAUGCCGAACCACAAAUGUGGAGCUGCUGCUGCUUCAGCCAGUCCUGCUGCCCAGGGGAGGGAGAGGCCACGAGUGUUCAUGUUUUCAGCACAACUUCUGUGGAGUCUUCAAGGCAAUAAAACAGGCUGGAGCAAACCCUGUGCCCUUGGAGAAAAUUGUUUCCCCUUUUCCUCCAGGGAAAAUCCAGAGCCCGAGCAGCAGCUGUGAAAGGGGUGGAGAGAUAAAGAAGUGGGGAGAUGCUGGAAGUGCUUUGGGCGACGCGAAAAGAAGGAUUUUGCACGGCAAGGAGCUGUUUCAAGGGCUCAGCAGCAAACCAGAGACAC